GAUCCUGGCUCAGGAUGAACGCUGGCGGCGUGCUUAACACAUGCAAGUCGAGCGAAGCAAUUUAAGUGAAGUUUUCGGAUGGAUCUUAGAUUGACUGAGCGGGCGACGGGUCGAAGGUAACGCGUGGAUAACCUGCCUCACACAGGGGGAUAACAGUUAGAAAUGACUGCUAAUACCGCAUAAGCGCACGGUACCGCAUGGUACAGUGUGAAAAACUCCGGUGGUGUGAGAUGG
RNAcentral lists this ribosomal RNA (234 nucleotides) under uncultured bacterium. RNAcentral's name for it is "partial 16S ribosomal RNA". It matches the Rfam family "Bacterial small subunit ribosomal RNA", at positions 15 to 228 of the family's 1533-position model. The record is from RNAcentral.